Molecule: small RNA, 16 nt
Filed under: Arabidopsis thaliana (thale cress)
Lineage: Eukaryota; Viridiplantae; Streptophyta; Magnoliopsida; Brassicales; Brassicaceae
Description: ATSL249540
Source: RNAcentral
UUUUUGUGUUUUUUUU